This 997-nucleotide unclassified non-coding RNA is filed under the name Hevea brasiliensis (rubber tree). The record is from RNAcentral. Lineage: Eukaryota; Viridiplantae; Streptophyta; Magnoliopsida; Malpighiales; Euphorbiaceae.
GAAACAACAGUUGUAAGAUACACUUAGCAUUUUACAUUAUUGAACUGCGAAAUACAAAUGAAUACAAAAAUAUAAAUGAAAAAGACAGAUGCCAUUGCUAAGUAACUAACUGCUUACUGUAAAUGGCUUAAUCCCAUAGCUGAACUGUUCAUCGAAGCAAACUUAACAAUCUCUUGUGGCAAAAACUGGCAAUUCCCUUCAUGUUUAAUUCCCAAAAAAUCUCUUGUUAAACAAUUAUCCAUACCGUUCAUUGAAACUGCUUGAGUAUUAUGCAUACCAACUGUUUGCAUAAUUGCCUCAUCCAAAUUAAUCGACUUAUUAAUCCCUGAAGAAGUGAAAUUCGGACACCCAAAUAGCCCGUUGUUGCUCUGUAACAACGAAGUUGUGUAAUCUUCAGAUUUCUUGGCGAAAAUUUGAUCUGUUGUUUCACAACUCUGUAAACUGGUAAAAGUUGGUGUAUUUGGGGAAGAUGAAGAAGAAGAGUUCAGUUUGCUGAAAUUGUUGCUAAAGAAAGUUGAUUGAUUGCUUUUUGUAGAGCCCAUUUGUGCUGCUUUCUGUAGAAGUGCAGUAGCAGACAUUGGUGUGGUCGAAUUUUGUUUGGUUAAUUGGCUGUUUUGACUAUCGGAAUACAGAGAAUUGUAUGCUUCAGCUAUUGAAAAGUUCGCAGAUGUCGAAUUAGAUGAUCCAAAUACAUUUUGAGAUUGCAUUUGGAUCAUUUCUUGGAAACCCCCUGUGAUUGAACUGUCAAAAAGAUUCGAACUUGAAGAUAUUUGAAGAGGAUUAUUAUGAUUAGCUGCUUGUUGAUCUAACCAUAGUGAUAAUCUUGGUUUUUGCUGCUGCUGCUGAUGAAGUGAAUUGUUAUUACCAGUUGUGUAACUACCAAAAUCUGGUCUACAUCCUGCGAAUCCGCCAUGUAAAUUUGCUUGUUGUUGGUUCAAUAAAGUUGCAGUAUUUGGGAAGUUGAUCAAAUUGGUAGCCCCAACUGAUGUGAUUCUUG